GACGAACGCUGGCGGCGUGCUUAACACAUGCAAGUCGAACGGAAAGGCCCUGCUUUUGUGGGGUGCUCGAGUGGCGAACGGGUGAGUAACACGUGAGUAACCUGCCCUUGACUUUGGGAUAACUUCAGGAAACUGGGGCUAAUACCGGAUAGGAGCUCCUGCUGCAUGGUGGGGGUUGGAAAGUUUCGGCGGUUGGGGAUGGACUCGCGGCUUAUCAGCUUGUUGGUGGGGUAGUGGCUUACCAAGGCUUUGACGGGUAGCCGGCCUGGGAGGGUGACCGGCCACAUUGGGACUGAGAUACGGCCCAGACUCCUACGGGAGACAGCAGUGGGGAAUAUUGCCCAAUGGGCGGAAGCCUGAUGCAACAACGCCGCGUGCGGGAUGACGGCCUUCGGGUUGUAAACCGCUUUCGCCUGUGACGAAGCGUGAGUGACGGUAAUGGGUAAAGAAGCACCGGCUAACUACGUG
Molecule: ribosomal RNA, 468 nt
Filed under: uncultured bacterium
Lineage: Bacteria
Description: partial 16S ribosomal RNA
Rfam family: Bacterial small subunit ribosomal RNA
Source: RNAcentral